This is a long non-coding RNA of Sarcophilus harrisii (Tasmanian devil), 706 nucleotides long. RefSeq lists it as uncharacterized. NCBI's taxonomy places the organism in Eukaryota, Metazoa, Chordata, Mammalia, Dasyuromorphia, Dasyuridae. The transcript has 2 exons. The record is from RefSeq and is a predicted model, not a curated record.
GGGGUAUCCAUUUCCUUUAUAUAAAUAAUACCGGCUGCCACUUUAACUUCCUAAUCUGGCAUUUGUGAUGUCAUCGGCUUCCAAAGAGAGUUCAGUCAGUUUGAGAGAAUGGCAGAACAGUGUCAAAGAAGGGAUGGGCAGAGAAGGAGACUGAAGGGUAAGGGGGCCUUAAAUCAAGAGGCAAUGGACUGGAGAAUGAGAUGAAUGAAAAGAAGGAUGAAGAUUAAUGUGAUGGACUGUGAUUCUGAGGAUCAACAAGAGAAAGCUCCCAACACAGAAACUAGUCAUCAGGCAAUGAAUUCUUCAGCUAAAACAACUCACUCAAACCCCUACUCUGAAACUUACCACUUAUAUGACUUUGGACCAAUCACAAUAGUAAUAACUAUCAUUUACAAAGCUGUGAGAAUUGGGCUUUAAAGAACACAGCAACACAGAAUCAAUGCUUUUGGAUUAUGGGGCUAUGGAAGAUUUUUGAGAGUCCUUUGGUCAGCAAGGAGAUCAAACCAGUCAUUGCUUAUAGAAAUUAAUUCAGAUUAUUCAUUGAAAGUUCAAAUACUGAAGCUGAAGCAUAAACAUUUUAGCUACAUAUUGAGAAGAUGGGAUUCAUUGGAAAAGGCCUUGAUGUUGGGAAAGAUUGAAAGCAAAAGGAAAAGAGGAAAGGAGAGUUUGAAAUGGAUGGGUAGUAUCACAGAAACAAUGAACAUGA